Molecule: ribosomal RNA, 236 nt
Filed under: uncultured Candidatus Saccharibacteria bacterium
Lineage: Bacteria; Candidatus Saccharimonadota
Description: partial 16S ribosomal RNA
Rfam family: Bacterial small subunit ribosomal RNA
Source: RNAcentral
UAAGCGCGAGGUGAAAUUUUCAGGGCUCAACCCUGAAACUGGCUCGCGAACUGUAAAGCUAGAGUAUAUGAGGGGAAGCUGGAAUUCCUGAUGUAGGAGUGGAAUCCGUAGAUAUCAGGAGGAACACCAAUGGCGUAGGCAGGCUUCUGGCAUAUUACUGACGCUAAGGCACGAAAGCGUGGGGAGCGAACGGGAUUAGAUACCCCGGUAGUCCACGCCGUAAACGAUGGAUGCUA